RNAcentral lists this ribosomal RNA (510 nucleotides) under uncultured microorganism. Its description in RNAcentral is "bacterial SSU rRNA". It matches the Rfam family "Bacterial small subunit ribosomal RNA", at positions 9 to 514 of the family's 1533-position model. The record is from RNAcentral.
GAGUUUGAUCGUGACUCAGGAUGAACGCUAGCGGCAGGCUUAAUACAUGCAAGUCGAGGGGCAUCAGCUUAUAGCAAUAUAGGGCUGGCGACCGGCAAACGGGUGCGGAACACGUACACAACCUUCCUUUAAGAGGGGGAUAGCCCAUAGAAAUGUGGAUUAAUACCCCGUAAGAUAGUGGGAUGGCAUCAUACUACUAUUAUAGUUACGACGCUUGAAGAUGGGUGUGCGUCUGAUUAGGUAGUUGGCGGGGUAAAGGCCCACCAAGCCUUCGAUCAGUAGCUGAUGUGAGAGCAUGAUCAGCCACACGGGCACUGAGACACGGGCCCGACUCCUACGGGAGGCAGCAGUAAGGAAUAUUGGUCAAUGGACGCAAGUCUGAACCAGCCAUGCCGCGUGAAGGAUGAAGGUCCUCUGGAUUGUAAACUUCUUUAUAGGGGGCGAAAAAAGGGAAUCUUUCUCACUUGACAGUACCCUAUGAAUAAGCACCGGCUAACUCCGUGCCAGCCG